ACGGGAGGCAGCAGCUAAGAAUAUUCCGCAAUGGACGAAAGUCUGACGGAGCGACGCCGCGUGGAUGAUGAAGGUCGGAAGAUUGUAAAAUCCUUUUAAGUAUGAAGAAUAAGCAUCUGAGUGGAAAGCAGGUGUGGUGACGGUAAUACUUGAAUAAGCAACGGCUAAUUACGUGCCAGCAGCCGCGGUAACACGUAAGUUGCGAGCGUUGUUCGAAAUUAUUGGGCGUAAAGGACAUGUAGGCGGUUUUGCAAGCUUGGUGUGAAAGGCAGGAGCUUAACUCCUGGACUGCGUUGAGAACUGCAAGACUAGAGUCACUGAGGGGCAAUCAGAAUUCCUGGUGUAGGGGUGAAAUCUGUAGAUAUCAGGAAGAAUACCAAUGGCGAAGGCAGGUUACCAGCAGAUGACUGACGCUGAGGUGUGAAGGUGCGGGGAGCAAACAGGAUUAGAUACCCUGGUA
RNAcentral lists this ribosomal RNA (460 nucleotides) under uncultured Treponema sp. RNAcentral describes it as "partial 16S ribosomal RNA". It matches the Rfam family "Bacterial small subunit ribosomal RNA", at positions 341 to 792 of the family's 1533-position model. Lineage: Bacteria; Pseudomonadati; Spirochaetota; Spirochaetia; Treponematales; Treponemataceae. The record is from RNAcentral.